Molecule: ribosomal RNA, 238 nt
Filed under: uncultured Staphylococcus sp.
Lineage: Bacteria; Bacillati; Bacillota; Bacilli; Caryophanales; Staphylococcaceae
Description: partial 16S ribosomal RNA
Rfam family: Bacterial small subunit ribosomal RNA
Source: RNAcentral
CGGGUGAGUAACACGUGGAUAACCUACCUAUAAGACUGGGAUAACUUCGGGAAACCGGAGCUAAUACCGGAUAAUAUUUUGAACCGCAUGGUUCAAAAGUGGAAAGACGGUCUUGCUGUCACUUAUAGAUGGAUCCGCGCUGCAUUAGCUAGUUGGUAAGGUAACGGCUUACCAAGGCAACGAUGCAUAGCCGACCUGAGAGGGUGAUCGGCCACACUGGAACUGAGACACGGUCCAG